GACGAACGCUGGCGGCGUGCUUAACACAUGCAAGUCGAACGGAAAGGCCCUGCUUGCAGGGUACUCGAGUGGCGAACGGGUGAGUAACACGUGGGUGAUCUGCCCUGCAUUUCGGGAUAAGCCUGGGAAACUGGGUCUAAUACCGGAUAGGAGCCAUUUUUAGUGUGAUGGUUGGAAAGUUUUUUCGGUGUAGGAUGAGCUCGCGGCCUAUCAGCUUGUUGGUGGGGUAAUGGCCUACCAAGGCGGCGACGGGUAGCCGGCCUGAGAGGGUGGACGGCCACAUUGGGACUGAGAUACGGCCCAGACUCCUACGGGAGGCAGCAGUGGGGAAGAUUGCACAAUGGGCGCAAGCCUGAUGCAGCGACGCCGCGUGGGGGAUGACGGCCUUCGGGUUGGAAACUCCUUUCGCUAGGGACGAAGCUUUUUGUGACGGUACCUAGAGAAGAAGCACCGGCUAACUACGUG
RNAcentral lists this ribosomal RNA (465 nucleotides) under uncultured bacterium. RNAcentral's name for it is "partial 16S ribosomal RNA". It matches the Rfam family "Bacterial small subunit ribosomal RNA", at positions 28 to 507 of the family's 1533-position model. The record is from RNAcentral.